GACGAACGCUGGCGGCGUGCUUAACACAUGCAAGUCGAACGGAAAGGCCCCUUUUGGGGUACUCGAGUGGCGAACGGGGGGGUAACACGUGAGUAACCUGCCCUUGACUUCGGGAUAACUUCAGGAAACUGGGGCUAAUACCGGAUAGGAAUCCUUUCUGCAUGGUGGGGGUUGGAAAGCUUCGGCGGUUUUGGAUGGACUCGCGGCCUAUCAGCUUGUUGGUGGGGUAGUGGCUUACCAAGGCUUUGACGGGUAGCCGGCCUGAGAGGGCGACCGGCCACAUUGGGACUGAGACACGGCCAAGACUCCGACGCGAGGCAGAAGUGGGGAAUAUUGAAAAAUGGGCGGAAGCCUGAUGCAGCACCGCCGCGUGCGGGAUGACGGCCUUGGGGUUGUAAACCGCUUUCAGCAGGGGCGAAGCUUGUGGUGACGGUACCUGCAGAAGAAGCACCGGCUAACUACGUG
RNAcentral lists this ribosomal RNA (465 nucleotides) under uncultured bacterium. RNAcentral's name for it is "partial 16S ribosomal RNA". It matches the Rfam family "Bacterial small subunit ribosomal RNA", at positions 28 to 507 of the family's 1533-position model. The record is from RNAcentral.